AUGAACGCUGGCGGCGUGCCUAAUACAUGCAAGUCGAGCGAACAGAUGAGGAGCUUGCUCCUCUGACGUUAGCGGCGGACGGGUGAGUAACACGUGGAUAACCUACCUAUAAGACUGGGAUAACUUCGGGAAACCGGAGCUAAUACCGGAUAAUAUAUUGAACCGCAUGGUUCAAUAGUGAAAGACGGUUUUGCUGUCACUUAUAGAUGGAUCCGCGCCGCAUUAGCUAGUUGGUAAGGUAACGGCUUACCAAGGCAACGAUGCGUAGCCGACCUGAGAGGGUGAUCGGCCAUACUGGAACUGAGACACGGUCCAGACUCCUACGGGAGGCAGCAGUAGGGAAUCUUCCGCAAUGGGCGAAAGCCUGACGGAGCAACGCCGCGUGAGUGAUGAAGGUCUUCGGAUCGUAGAACUCUGUUAUUAGGGAAGAACAAAUGUGUAAGUAACUAUGCACGUCUUGACGGUACCUAAUCAGAAAGCCACGGCUAACUACGUG
This 496-nucleotide ribosomal RNA is filed under the name uncultured bacterium. RNAcentral's name for it is "partial 16S ribosomal RNA". It matches the Rfam family "Bacterial small subunit ribosomal RNA", at positions 29 to 507 of the family's 1533-position model. The record is from RNAcentral.